AGGAGUGUGAGUCCACAAAGCAUCUAUUCUAUCCUGUGCCUGGAUUACUGAUGUGGAAAUUGUUCUCUGGGGUGGGAGAUGAAUUCAGGAGUGUGAAUGUCUUCAAAGAGGGAGUGUAAUAUUCAAUCAGCAAUGGGCUCUACUUUUCAAGAUUUUCUUGGGGAAAGGAAGUCCAUUCACCAACCACAGGUACCAUCCCAGGAGUGGUCCUGGAUAUCUCAAGACCUGUGACUGGACAGGGUCACUAGCAGAUGAUUUUUGCUAUUGUUUGUAGCCAUUUCUCUAAAUUAAAUCUGUCACUCGGGAGUAACACAAAACACAUUUGGUGAUAUGUGAGCUUCAGAGCAUCAAACAAAUGGACCAGCUGCUUCUGCAGCUGCAUCUGUGACACAGCCAAGGAUGACCAGUGAUGCCCAGGCAGCGAGCAGGGAGAAAGUCAAGGUGGCCUCUGGUAGCCGCACCCUUCCCUGCCUGUGCACCACCAAUCCUAGCAAGGAAAGUGAGAUUUGGAAGGCCGCUCUGAGAUCUGCUCUCCCUCCGGGCUGCUUGGGUCCAUUCGGCAGGACCAGGUAGCUGCUCCCUCCCCUGCCUGCUCUGCCACCAGCUCCAGCAAGAAAGAUCCUGACUACUGAACACGAAAAAGGCUGUGUCCAGCAAUUGGGUCAUAUGGGUCCGUUGUCCGAUCUGCAAACCUACCAGGAUCUUUUGAAAAUCACCAGCCUCUAGUGGAAACAGGUGGGA
Molecule: long non-coding RNA, 741 nt
Filed under: Fukomys damarensis (Damara mole-rat)
Lineage: Eukaryota; Metazoa; Chordata; Mammalia; Rodentia; Bathyergidae
Description: lncRNA (ENSFDAG00000024404.1)
Source: RNAcentral